UCGGGAAUUUUGGGCAAUGGGGGAAACCCUGACCCAGCAACGCCGCGUGCGGGAAGAAGGCCUUCGGGUUGUAAACCGCUUUUGUCAGGGAAGAAACGCUCUGGGCUAAUACCCUGGGGUAAUGACGGUACCUGAAGAAUAAGCACCGGCUAACUACGUGCCAGCAGCCGCGGUAAUACGUAGGGUGCAAGCGUUAAUCGGAAUUACUGGGCGUAAAGCGUGCGCAGGCGGUUAUGCAAGACAGAUGUGAAAUCCCCGGGCUCAACCUGGGAACUGCAUUUGUGACUGUAUAGCUAGAGUACGGUAGAGGGGGAUGGAAUUCCGCGUGUAGCAGUGAAAUGCGUAGAUAUGCGGAGGAACACCGAUGGCGAAGGCAAUCCCCUGGACCUGUACUGACGCUCAUGCACGAAAGCGUGGGGAGCAAACAGGAUUAGAUACCCAUGUAGUCCCUGAGCGGGCUGGCAAGGCG
This 469-nucleotide ribosomal RNA is filed under the name uncultured bacterium. RNAcentral's name for it is "bacterial SSU rRNA". It matches the Rfam family "Bacterial small subunit ribosomal RNA", at positions 355 to 822 of the family's 1533-position model. The record is from RNAcentral.